CAGUCCAUUUUUAAAAAUAGCUUCUGUGAUGGCAAACCAUCAUUUGUCAGUGGGUUUGAACUUGUGGAAACAUAGUCAUUUGUUGACAAGUAUGGUAAAUGAUGAAGGUGAAAUUAUUUUUUAAAAACAAUGUAGAGUAAUAAAUUAAUAAUAAAAGUAUGUUUGAAAGCAUUUUCAAGGAAAAGUUACAAAAUAUGAGAAAUGUCUCCCCAUACAACUAUUCAACAUGUAAACUGAAUAUUAAAAUUUUUUGAACUAUGUUUUAUCUCAUAACAAAGAACCUCAUCUUGCUCUUUCAUUGUGAAUAUUUUAAAGUGCAUGAUGAGAGGUCUAAGCAAUCAUUAUAAGAAAUCAUUAUAGAAAUUAUUCUGUGAGAAAAUAAAUAAAUAGUUGAUCACUUUAUAAGUUCAGGGUUAUAGACAAUUGAAUGUUGUUUCUCUAAAUCUGAAUGCUUUCAUGGCAUAUUUUGCAAGUAAGUUAUCUUUAAGAUACUGAGUUGAUGUAUUUUCAUCCCUUCCAGAUAUCCUUAAACUUAUUUUUUUACCCUUGAUUUCAACUUCCCACAUCAGCCUUGUCAGACUGAACCCUUGAACCACAGAUAGACUAGCCUUGGACCCACCUCCCUCCUGUGCCUCCCUAAGCUAUUUUCAGAAGAUGAGUUCCUUCUCUUCAGAAAUGUGUUUUCUCCCAUGUGGUCACCAUUCAAAAACAGGCUAGUUUUGUUUUGUUUCUUAGCUUUCUCAGUGCAUAGGCAGACAUUGUCACAUGUGAUUGAGCAUGAGGGUAUAGCCAGAAGACCUGGAACCAGUUAAUGGCCUUCUACUUGCCAAUCAUGCCAUCUCAUCCAGGUGGCUGAACUGCUCUGUGCCUCAGUUUCCUCAUGGGCAAAUUUGAAAAAAAUCAUAGCUUCUAAUUUAGGUGUUGUUAGGUUUUAAAUGAGUUAACAUUUAAAAUACUUCAAAGAGCAUCUGGUACAUGGUGAGUCUCCAUAAACAUUUGCCAUUAUCAUUACAUUAAAGUAAAUAUACAGAGUGAGGUUUUUUGCUGUCAUAAUAUUUUUUUUGUCCUUUUAUGGCCACACCAGUGGCAUAUAGAGGUUCCCAGGGUAAGGGUUGAAUCAGAGCUACAGCUUCUGGCCUACACCACAGCCACAACAACGCCAGAUCCGAGCUGUGUCUGGGACCUGCAUCACAGCUAACGGCAACAUCAGAUCCUUAACCCACUGAGCAAGGCCAGGGAUCGAAUCUGCAUUCUCAUGAGUAAGAGUCAGAUUUGUUUCUGCUAAGCCACGACGGAAAAUCCUGUUAUAACUUUUAAAAUAAUUUUGAAAUCUGUGCAGAACAUUUUCUCAUACCUGUAAACAUGUUUCUAGCUGAUAAUAUUUUAGCUUGUGGAUGCACCAUAAUUUACCACAUUAAUCCCUUAUGUUUGAUAUUUAGAUGGUUUCCAUUUUUUGCUAUUUUAAAUAAUAUGAAAAUGUUAUUCAUCCUUGUUUUCCUAAAAUCAUAGGAGAUCCUGAACAAUUCCAUAGGGUGUGUGCAUUUUAAUCCUUUUGAUAUCUUUUUUUCUAAAUUGGACACUAGAAAUAUAUCAACUCGCAUUCCCAUCUGUGGAGACAUCGAUUUCUGUAGCUCACUGUGCACAUUUCAGUCUGACCAUCCAGCAUAAUCCCCCUUCUACUUCUUUAAUCUAUGAGCUACUUCUGCACAUUCCCCAGAUUCCCCACAUAGAAAAAAAGGGUUUUUUAACUGGUUCAGUCAUCCAAAUCAUCAUUGGUGAUUCAUAUUACUUGGAAUAUAUUAUCCCAAAUGUUUUGUUCUUUCACUUUGCCUUUGUCUUUUAUCUUUGUUCCAUUUCCCGUUGUUCCCUCUCCUUGCCCCUUAAAUCUUGUCACAGACCUGUUUCUCCAGAAAGGCAUAAGCUCCCAACCUCAGGAAUUUUCCUCAGAUAUGCUGUCACCAGAGAAAGCUUAGAGUCACUGCAACACAAAGACGGACUUUCUUCCUUUACGCCAGACACAAUGCUAGAGGAACAGAAAGGAAGGCUUACAACAAAAGCAGAGACAGAAAAAACAUAAAAUAAGGGACAAAACAGACACAAAUGAGGGCAUUUGGAAGGAACCUCUAUUAUUGGGCAUAAUUUUUUUAAUUAUAGUUAAUUUAUAAUGUGCCAAUUUCUGCUGUACAGCAAAGUGACCCCGUCAGAUAUAUCUUCUAUCAUGGUCUAUCCCAAGAGACUAAAUAUAGUUCCCCAUGCUAUAUAGUAGGACCUCAUUGCUAAACCAUUCUAAGUGUAAUAGUUUGAAUCUACUAACCCCAAACUCCCAGUCCCUCCCACUCCCCUCCUUUUCCCCCUUGGUAACCGCAAGUCUGUUCUCUGUGUCUGAGUCUGUUUCUGUUUUGUAGAUAGAUUCAUUUGUGCCAUAUUUUAGAUUCCACAUACAAGUGAUAUCAUAUGGAAUUUAUCACUGUCUUUCUGACUUAAGUCACUUAGUAUGAUAAUCUCUAGUUGCAUCCAUGUUGCUGCAAAUAGCAUUAUUUCAUUCUUUUUAUGACUGAGUAGUAGUCCAUUGUGUGUGUGUAUGUGUGUGUGUGUGUAUAUCUGUAUCUAUGUAUAUAUCACGUCUUAAUCCAUUAAUCUGUUGAUGGACAUGGAUUAAGACUGUUUCCAUGGAUUAGAUUGUUUCCAUGUCUUGGGUAUUGUGAAUAGUGCUACUGUGAAUAUAGGGGUAUAUGUAUCUUUUUGAAUUGUAGUUUGCCCAGGAGAGGGAUUGCUGGAUCAUACAGUAGUUCUAUAUUUAGUUUUCUGAGGUAUCUCCACACUGUUUUCCAUAGUGGUUGUACCAAUUUACAUUCCCACCAACAGUAAAGGAGGGUUCCCUUUUCUCCACAUCUUCUCCAGCAUUUGAUUUUUGUAGACUUAUUAAUGAUUAUUAUUCUGAUUGAUAUGAGAUGAUACCAUUGUAAUUUCGAUUUGCAUUUCUCUAAUAAUUAGUGAUGCUGAGCAUUUUUUCAUGUGUCUACUGGCCACCUGUAUGUCUUAUUUGGAGAAAUGUCUAUUCAGGUCUUCUGCACAUUUUUUGAUUGGGAUGUUUGUUUUUUUGUUGUUGAGUUAUAUGAAUUGUUUGUAUUUCUUGGAGAUUAAGUCUUUGUUGGUUGCGUCAUUUGCAAUUAUUUUCUCCCACUCCGUAGGUUGUCUUUUUGUUUUUUUUAAUGCUUUCCUUUGCUGUACAUAAGCUUGUAAGUUUGAUUAAGUCCCAUUUGUUUAUUUUUGUUUUUAUUUCUAUUAUCAGGCAUAAUUUUAAGGUAGGGAUCAUCAUAUGGAGCAGUGUGUUCCUAUUUGCACUGGAAAAUAGUACCUAAGAAUACAUGUGCAUUGCUUGUUUAUCCAUAAUAUACCUCUGCCAGAACACAGAGAACUCUGGGGGCUCUGACUAACCCUGGAAAGGAAAACUGGGGAGUUGAGAAGAGGGAUGUUAAAAGAUUCUUUUCGCUAUCUUUUUAUCAUCUGAAUUUGCAACUAUAUGAAUGCGUUGUCUAUUAAAAAGUAGAAGUAAAAUAUAUUAAAACUUCUCUCUCACACAUGAAUGCCUUGUUUUACUCCACUUACAUAAUGGUGCUUUCUUUUGUAGAACCUACCUACUUCCUACCUUUAUCCUUAAUUGUCCCAUUAGCAUACAUAAUAAAGGACCCCUGAGAUUAAAGACUUUCUUCUGACAAAAUUCUUAAUUGUAAAUCUCAAUUAUCCACAGGCUAAAUAUGACAGAUCUCUGUCAUAUAAAAUCUUUGCAGGUUAUCUUCAUUUUCAUUUUAGGUUUGGUGAAAACUAAGGGCUUGGGGGAUGGCGGUAGGAGGAUGGCAAUUGCUUCCAGGUUUCAUAGAAUCAAUGGCAGGCUUAGGGAAAAAAGCUUUUCUAUAUUUCUUUUUCUUUUCUUUUUUCUUUUUCUUUUUUCAAAAGAAGGAACUCAUUAUGUUUGGGCUCCCACAGCUACAUUGUCUAAAAACAUUUUGGCUUUUUUUUUUUUGUGGUACUUGAAUACAAUUCAGAAUGAGUCACUUGGACAAGUGGUCUUAACGGCACGGAAAACAAACACUUUAUGAAAACAACAUCUAUAGGCCUAAGCCUCCUGUCUUUUAUCUUUACUAUUUUCUCCGAGUCUGGCAUGAAACAGACAUACACCAAUCUCCACAGGGGUUAAAUAGAGAACCAUCCAAACAUCACAAAGCACCGUCCAGAAUGUUGAUGACUUCCACUCCCCAACUCUAGUGCACAAGGCCUGGCUGGUGGUGCAGAGACCAUGGUGUCCUGGCUGGGACAGGCACUCACAGUGUGUGCCAGAAUCAGCAGUUCUCAGCCUCAGCACAAGGCACACACGUCUCAGAAUGAGUCUCCAUCCUUUGUCUGGUGAACAGUAUAAAUAGCUUGCUCCACAUCUGGCUCAAAGCCCGUUUCUGCUCAAUCUUAGAGUAGGGUCUUUUCUCCCACUUUGUUUUAGGUCAGCUUUUAGCAUCACUUGUUUAAUGCACUAAGCUCUUACUUCUGUGUAUUAUCAAACCUAGGGAUGGAGGGAAGACUGAAGGAUCUGGACAUGUGCUUUUUAGGCGAUCAGACAAGGCUGAGGGCUAAGGCAUUAGUUCUUGGGUCUUCCGAUCUCAGAGAAAGGAACCCUCUCUAGAACGUGAACUCUAAAUCCAGAGGGCUUAUACACAGGGGAGGAUAUACUACGGAAUCACAUUAGAUGCUAGAAGUGGUUUGUUCUGAGAGGGGUUGUGGGUAAUCCCUAUGUUGUUCUUCUUUAUAACCUUGUAUACUUUUCACAUUUCCUACAGUGAGCCCCCUCCUUAGUAAGUCUGUAAGCGUGAAUAGGUACAUCAUCUUGUAGAAUCUCUCUCUUUUUAAGAAAUCUUUAAAAUGGAGACAAGAGUAAAAAUACUUAGGGCUAUCGGAAGGGUGAC
RNAcentral lists this long non-coding RNA (4955 nucleotides) under Sus scrofa (pig). RNAcentral's name for it is "lncRNA (ENSSSCG00000058124.1)". The record is from RNAcentral. Lineage: Eukaryota; Metazoa; Chordata; Mammalia; Artiodactyla; Suidae.